AUCCCAUGGCUCAGAUUGAACGCUGGCGGCAGGCCUAACACAUGCAAGUCGAGCGGUAGAGAGAAGCUUGCUUCUCUUGAGAGCGGCGGACGGGUGAGUAAUGCCUAGGAAUCUGCCUGGUAGUGGGGGAUAACGUUCGGAAACGGACGCUAAUACCGCAUACGUCCUACGGGAGAAAGCAGGGGACCUUCGGGCCUUGCGCUAUCAGAUGAGCCUAGGUCGGAUUAGCUAGUUGGUGAGGUAAUGGCUCACCAAGGCGACGAUCCGUAACUGGUCUGAGAGGAUGAUCAGUCACACUGGAACUGAGACACGGUCCAGACUCCUACGGGAGGCAGCAGUGGGGAAUAUUGGACAAUGGGCGAAAGCCUGAUCCAGCCAUGCCGCGUGUGUGAAGAAGGUCUUCGGAUUGUAAAGCACUUUAAGUUGGGAGGAAGGGUUGUAACCUAAUACGUUGCAAUCUUGACGUUACCGACAGAAUAAGCACCGGCUAAC
Molecule: ribosomal RNA, 492 nt
Filed under: Pseudomonas sp. CL1.149
Lineage: Bacteria; Pseudomonadati; Pseudomonadota; Gammaproteobacteria; Pseudomonadales; Pseudomonadaceae
Description: bacterial SSU rRNA
Rfam family: Bacterial small subunit ribosomal RNA
Source: RNAcentral